This 71-nucleotide transfer RNA is filed under the name Engelhardtia mirabilis. Its description in RNAcentral is "Planctomycetes bacterium Pla133 tRNA-Arg". Lineage: Bacteria; Pseudomonadati; Planctomycetota; Planctomycetia. The record is from RNAcentral.
GGGGCCCUUCGAGCGGUGCAAAUCCAGGCUGGCGGGGCCUGAGCCUCGGGUUCGGGUCCCCGGGGGCCCCG